CGGGGCGUAGCUCAGCUUGGUAGAGCGCUGCUUUCGGGAGGCAGAGGUCGGAGGUUCGAAUCCUCUCGCCCCGACCA
This 77-nucleotide transfer RNA is filed under the name Ahniella affigens. RNAcentral's name for it is "tRNA-Pro". It matches the Rfam family "tRNA". Rfam says of the family: Transfer RNA (tRNA) molecules are approximately 80 nucleotides in length. Their secondary structure includes four short double-helical elements and three loops (D, anti-codon, and T loops). Further hydrogen bonds mediate the characteristic L-shaped molecular structure. tRNAs have two regions of fundamental functional importance: the anti-codon, which is responsible for specific mRNA codon recognition, and the 3' end, to which the tRNAs corresponding amino acid is attached (by aminoacyl-tRNA synthetases). tRNAs cope with the degeneracy of the genetic code in two manners: having more than one tRNA (with a specific anti-codon) for a particular amino acid; and 'wobble' base-pairing, i.e. permitting non-standard base-pairing at the 3rd anti-codon position. The record is from RNAcentral. Lineage: Bacteria; Pseudomonadati; Pseudomonadota; Gammaproteobacteria; Lysobacterales; Rhodanobacteraceae.